AUUAUGCAUAUAAGAUGUAAACGUUUCACCGAUGUAAUACUAAAAACUAAAGAAUUAUCUAUAAUAAUAAAAAUAAAAAAGUAAAAACUAUUGACUAAAAAAUUUAAGAAAUAGUAAUAGAGCUUGAAAGAAAAGAAGUUUGAAAAAUACGAGAGAAAAAGUGGUAAAAGAAAAUUUUUUGAUGUUUUAUUUUUCAUGUAAGGGUUCUUUUUGUUCUUUUCCUACUCCAUUUUAUCCUAAAACUCAACUUUUUAAAAAACAAUCCCAAAAACCUGUAAUCUUCUUAAAAUUGGUCUUUUUUGUAAUUCAUUUUCAAGUCCGGACUCAAAGACUUUUGAGAUGGUUUUUGAAAAUGAAGAGUUUUAGGACAAUAAGAUGGUGAAAUAUCCAAAUUAUCCUCAAUAAAAAGAAUGCUAAAAUAGGUCAUUUUCCUCCCACUUCCUCCAUCUUCACGUUUUCCAUUCUCAAAUCUCUUACGCGUAGGUGACUUUGUCGAACAACGAUGGUAGGUUUUAGACGGUGAUGACAAGGCUUUAGACGGCAACGGCGAGCUUCAGACGAUGACGAUGAGGCUUCAGAUGACGACGAUGACAGCGAGGAUUUAGAGAAAGUUAUUGGUCAUAAAAUCUCAAGUUCACGCUACAAAAAAUAUCAAGUUGAUCAUUAAAAAAAAUAUGCUCAAAUAAUGUACUCAGCUUCUCACCUCUCAGUCUUCAUCGAAGGUUCGUCAGCGAGUAGUAACUCAACAUGAUCCUAAGGAAAUGGGGUGAUUGGUGGCUACAAAAGAGUCGUUGUGGGUCAUCACAAAGAUCACAAUACCAAUAUACCAAUAGACAACCUGUUGGAUUUGAUAUACACUAUUGGGGAUGUUUUG
Molecule: long non-coding RNA, 874 nt
Organism: Cucumis melo (muskmelon)
Lineage: Eukaryota; Viridiplantae; Streptophyta; Magnoliopsida; Cucurbitales; Cucurbitaceae
Exons: 3
Source: RefSeq, a predicted model, not a curated record